CAUCUGAAGCCUGGCUCUCUCUCUCUCUCUCUCGCUCUCUCUCUCUCUCUCUCUCUCGCUCUCUCUCUCUCUCUCUCUCUCGCUCUCUCUCUCUCUCUCUCUCUCGCUCUCUCUCUCUCUCUCUCUCUCGCUCUCUCUCUCUCUCUCUCUCUCGCUCUCUCUCUCUCUCUCUCUCUCGCUCUCUCUCUCUCUCUCUCUCUCGCUCUCUCUCUCUCUCUCUCUCUCGCUCUCUCUCUCUCUCUCUCUCUCGCUCUCUCUCUCUCUCUCUCUCUCGCUCUCUCUCUCUCUCUCUCUCUCGCUCUCUCUCUCUCUCUCUCUCUCGCUCUCUCUCUCUCUCUCUCUCUCGCUCUCUCUCUCUCUCUCUCUCUCGCUCUCUCUCUCUCUCUCUCUCUCGCUCUCUCUCUCUCUCUCUCUCUCGCUCUCUCUCUCUCUCUCUCUCUCGCUCUCUCUCUCUCUCUCUCUCUCGCUCUCUCUCUCUCUCUCUCUCUCGCUCUCUCUCUCUCUCUCUCUCUCGCUCUCUCUCUCUCUCUCUCUCUCGCUCUCUCUCUCUCUCUCUCUCUCGCUCUCUCUCUCUCUCUCUCUCUCGCUCUCUCUCUCUCUCUCUCUCUCGCUCUCUCUCUCUCUCUCUCUCUCGCUCUCUCUCUCUCUCUCUCUCUCGCUCUCUCUCUCUCUCUCUCUCUCGCUCUCUCUCUCUCUCUCUCUCUCGCUCUCUCUCUCUCUCUCUCUCUCGCUCUCUCUCUCUCUCUCUCUCUCGCUCUCUCUCUCUCUCUCUCUCUCGCUCUCUCUCUCUCUCUCUCUCUCGCUCUCUCUCUCUCUCUCUCUCUCGCUCUCUCUCUCUCUCUCUCUCUCGCUCUCUCUCUCUCUCUCUCUCUCGCUCUCUCUCUCUCUCUCUCUCUCGCUCUCUCUCUCUCUCUCUCUCUCGCUCUCUCUCUCUCUCUCUCUCUCGCUCUCUCUCUCUCUCUCUCUCUCGCUCUCUCUCUCUCUCUCUCUCUCGCUCUCUCUCUCUCUCUCUCUCUCGCUCUCUCUCUCUCUCUCUCUCUCGCUCUCUCUCUCUCUCUCUCUCUCGCUCUCUCUCUCUCUCUCUCUCUCGCUCUCUCUCUCUCUCUCUCUCUCGCUCUCUCUCUCUCUCUCUCUCUCGCUCUCUCUCUCUCUCUCUCUCUCGCUCUCUCUCUCUCUCUCUCUCUCGCUCUCUCUCUCUCUCUCUCUCUCGCUCUCUCUCUCUCUCUCUCUCUCGCUCUCUCUCUCUCUCUCUCUCUCGCUCUCUCUCUCUCUCUCUCUCUCUCUCUCUCUCUCUCACUCUCUCUCUCUCUCUCUCUCUCUUCCAUCUAACUGAACAGCUUGACGGAU
Molecule: long non-coding RNA, 1347 nt
Filed under: Sinocyclocheilus anshuiensis
Lineage: Eukaryota; Metazoa; Chordata; Actinopteri; Cypriniformes; Cyprinidae
Description: lncRNA (ENSSANG00000012097.1)
Source: RNAcentral